GACGAACGCUGGCGGCGUGCUUAACACAUGCAAGUCGAGCGGUAAGGCCCUUUCGGGGUACGACGAGCGGCGAACGGGUGAGUAACACGUGGGUGACCUGCCCUCAGCUCUGGGAUAAGCCUGGGAAACUGGGUCUAAUACCGGAUAUGACCCCAUGACGCAUGUUGUGGGGUGGAAAGCCUUGUGCGGCUGAGGAUGGGCCCGCGGCCUAUCAGCUUGUUGGUGGGGUGAUGGCCUACCAAGGCGACGACGGGUAGCCGGCCUGAGAGGGCGACCGGCCACACUGGGACUGAGACACGGCCCAGACUCCUACGGGAGGCAGCAGUGGGGAAUCUUGCGCAAUGGGCGAAAGUCUGACGCAGCGACGCCGCGUGA
This 375-nucleotide ribosomal RNA is filed under the name uncultured bacterium. RNAcentral describes it as "bacterial SSU rRNA". It matches the Rfam family "Bacterial small subunit ribosomal RNA", at positions 28 to 404 of the family's 1533-position model. The record is from RNAcentral.